This 223-nucleotide long non-coding RNA is filed under the name Lathyrus oleraceus (garden pea). RNAcentral describes it as "Pisum sativum (pea) long non-coding RNA (PSAT_LNC016774)". The record is from RNAcentral. Lineage: Eukaryota; Viridiplantae; Streptophyta; Magnoliopsida; Fabales; Fabaceae.
ACUUCAUAGUGAACCUGAGCUCAGUGUUCUCCUGCUAAAGUCUUCCCACCUUUUUCUGAUGAAUCUUCAUCUGACGGAAAUAAUGGUCCCUCUCAGCAAGAUAGUGAUCUCUCUCGGCCAUAAUCUUCGCUUUCUCUUCUUCCUUAACCCUCAUCUUUGCUUCCCAUUCUGUGGUAAAGGCUUUGACUCUAGCUUCCCUCUGAGUCUUCACAAGGACUUGUCU